RNAcentral lists this ribosomal RNA (253 nucleotides) under uncultured bacterium. RNAcentral's name for it is "partial 16S ribosomal RNA". It matches the Rfam family "Bacterial small subunit ribosomal RNA", at positions 524 to 776 of the family's 1533-position model. The record is from RNAcentral.
UACAGAGGGGGCAAGCGUUAUUCGGAAUUAUUGGGCGUAAAGGGCGCGUAGGCGGCUUUGCAAGUGGCGGGUGAAAUCCCUCGGCUUAACCGGGGAACUGCAUCUGAUACUGGAUGGCUUGAGAUUGGGAGAGGGAUGCGGAAUUCCAGGUGUAGCGGUGAAAUGCGUAGAUAUCUGGAGGAACACCUGUGGCGAAAGCGGCGCACUGGACCAUAACUGACGCUGAGGCGCGAAAGCUAGGGGAGCAAACAGG